This 22131-nucleotide long non-coding RNA is filed under the name Solanum lycopersicum (tomato). RNAcentral's name for it is "long non-coding RNA (SLYC_LNC000380)". Lineage: Eukaryota; Viridiplantae; Streptophyta; Magnoliopsida; Solanales; Solanaceae. The record is from RNAcentral.
UAAAACCCCCUUUUUCUUCUUCAAGGAGGGGGUUAGAAUUUGUUGGGAAGAAAAUUCGGAAGGAAUUUUUUUUUCUUUUGGCUCUACUGUUCAUUACGGAAAACUAAUACAUCAGGUUGAAAAAAUUUUGUUGAGAGCGAAAACCUUUCGUCCGUUUCUGUCUGCUUCAGAAGACGGGAAUAGAGUAUAGGUGGGAGUAUAAAGUAGACUUGCGUUUCAAUUUCGAUCGUGAUAUCGUCUUCCCGUUCCGGCGGCACCAGUCUCUUUGAGCAGGUUCGCGGUGGAAGCACUCUUUCGAGCUUGUCGUCCCUGUUUUACUGCCAUCAAAGAGGUAAAUCUUGUCAUCUUCAUGCGUUUUUCCUCAUUCAUGUGUGUUUCUUGAUCGAUAUGGGGGUAGUCUGUUUGUUGUUGUGUGGGGAUUCUGGUUGCUUUCCGUCUAGUUGUUAAAUGUUGUAAAGUUUGACUUUCGUCGUUCAAUUUGGGAUUCAUUGUCUAUCUGUUGAGCUUCCGAAUAGAAUCCUUCCCUUGCCCACCUUGUUGAGACUGUUUCUAGCUGUUUUUUUUUCUUUUCUUUGAUUAAAAAAAGAAGAAGAAGAGAUGUGUAAGGUUUGUUCCUACUUGCCUCUCCUCUGUAUUGCAUAGCAACUCUCUUGCUUAUUUUCUCCUUUAUGUUAAGUGAGUUGGUUAGUUUGUUCGAAAUUGUGUAUAGAGUCACGUUUGGUCCUGUUGUUGUUUAGGUUUACUGUCUUCUCCAAGUUGAGGCUGAGAUGUUCUUUGUUGUUCUUGUAGCUAUUUCCUUAAGGAACACCAACUAGACUUAUUCGAUGUCUUGUUUGGUUUCCUUCGAGUUUUCUCUUGUGUUUAUCGCUUUGAGUUGCGAGCAAAUUCGGGUUGUCUUUGGUUCAGGUUAGAACCUCGUGUCUAUUUGGUUCUGAUCUAAACGUUGGAAAUAGCACUGAAUUAUAUUUUGCAUUGCAUUUUUUAUUUAUUUUGUAUCAAUUGUAUUCGAAAUACAACGAUAUUCAUCUUUUUUUUAAUUGGAUACAAAUACAUUUGACAGAGAGAAUGAAUAUAUAUUAUAUUCGUACGAAUACAAAUACACAAAUAAUAAAUAUAGUUUUUCGAAUAAAAUUGAAUUUAUGUAUAGUUAUCAAUUUUUUUUUAAAAUACAAUUAAUAUUCAUUAUAGAAUAUAUUUCUUAAUUUUUUGUCAAUCAGCCUAUGUUGCCUACGUAGUGCUCGUGUAUUUGCACUUAUACUACUUUUGUGGUAUCAUAUUUUAAGAUGGUUUGCACUAUUGUUAUAUUUCUUUUUUGUUUCUUUAGAUUUUUUGUGUUGGACGGAGGGGUAAUCUUAUCUAUCUGGGUAUUAGGAUAGGUGUUAUUAUGAUUCUGAGAUUAAUUAUUUACUUUCUUUAGAUUUUUUGCCUGAAUUUAAAUUGAUUUUUUUACGUCCCUCGUCAUUUUCAUCUAUACUAUGUCUUAUAGUGUGAAUUAGCAAUUUGAUAUUCCUAUAGUUAAUUACAAUUUCAAAUAUUACCUUCAGUGGCGACCUUCAGUGGCGGACUUACCUUGAUUCAAUGGAUAUCAAACGAUACCCUUUGUUGAAAAAUUACGUUGUAUAUAUUGAUUAAAUUUUAAUUUUAUAAAUAGAAACCUCUUAAAACAAGUUAAAGGCUUAAGAGUCUGUUUGACUCAACUUAAAAGCUGGUCAAAUUGACUUAAAAACUGAUUUUUGACUUAUUUAUCUGUUUGGCAAUACUCUAAAUAACUUAUUUUAAGUUAUUUUAAGCCAAAAGUUAAAAGCUGGGGUAGGGGUGCUUUUUUUUUUCCAGCUUAUAAGCUGUUUUAAGUUGUCCACAUUUUUACCUUUUUGCCCUUGAUAUUUUUAUACAAUCUCCAAAUUACCCACAUAACCCUAACAUCUCUUUCUUCUAUUUUUCCCUUUUCACGUGUGGAUGAUAGACAAUUACUAUUAUUAAUGAAUGAAAAUAAAAUAAAUCUUAAAUCUUUCAAGUAAUAUAUUCAAAUUAUAUAUUAUUAAAAUGAAAAUAAGUUGCACAUAUAACUUAAAUAAAAAUUUAUAUUUCUCUUAUAAAUAAUUUGUGAUAAUAAAGAAAUAUGUGAAUGAUAGACAAUUAUUAUUACCUAUGGAUGAAACUAAAAUAAAAUUUUAAAUCAUUCUUUAAUUUAUUCAAAUUAUAUAUCUUUAAAAUCUAUAAUAAGUUUAUAUUCCUCUUAUAAAUAAUCUGUGAUGAGAAAGAAAUAUGUGAAUGAUAGCAAAAUAUAAUUAUUUUAUGGCUGUAAAAUAUAAAUUAAUUAACUUUUAUUAUGUUAACAACUUUUAAAGGUAUUUCAGACAUUUUGAUUAAAAAAGCUGUUUAUCAGCACUUAUUUGCCAAACACAUCAACAACUUCUUUUUUUUAACUUCAGCCCUUUUAUCCAAACUCAUAACUGCUUAUUUUAAAAAUAAAUUUCAGCACUUUCAAAAAUAUUUUUUUAAAAUUGCUUUUGUUAAACCCAUACAAACUGGCCCUAAGUCUCGAAAAUGACAUCGAACAACUUGGUCAUUCUAUAUAUAUCUACCCUGUAAUUUAUUUUUUCGUGAUUUUACCUUUACGCACCCUAUGAAUAACACUAUUAAAUUAUAAUAAUUAUAGUGCUUUUUUUUUUUUUUAAUUUUAUAAAGUACCGUUUAUAGUGCAGAUUGUUUUUGGCUUUUUUAUUAAGUGGAUGGAUAUGCCAAAUUCUAGAGAUAAUAUAAUUAACCGACAUACUACAAUUCCAUAAAACUAUAUUUUAUAUAUAUAUAUUGUAAACGUAACUUCUACACUUUUCUUCAAUAGUAUAUUAGCAUAUAUUAAAUUAUAAUGGAAGUGUACUGAAGUUAGUGGUACAAAUCAUUUAAAUGAAAGGACUAGAUUCUGUGACAUUGUCAUUGAAUUUACUUAAUUUAUUUCUCUUAAAUUUCUUUAAUAUUUUUAAAUAAUGUUUUCGUUCAAACUUUACGCAACAUGUUUUAGGACCGUGGGAUUAAAAUAUAUUUCGUUAUAUUUUAUAUUUAAUUUUAAUUUAGGAUUAUAAAAUUUAUUUUUUUUUAAAAAAAGUUCUUUUAUAUCAAGUUAAAUCAGAUAAAUACAUUAAAACAUAGGCGAAUCCUCAACAAGUACGUAGGGGCUUUGACCAAGCUGAUCAACAUGGAUGGUUGGCCAGAGUUAAUCGAGGUGCUUACGGGGUACUGGGACAGUCAGAGGAUGGUCUUCCAUUUUGGAAUGACCGAAAUUAUCCCUACGCUAGAAGAGAUAAGGGAUUGCGUAGACACCGUGGGCACUGAUAUAGAAAGAAGAGCCCGAAAACAAGAGGACGUCUUCAUCCCCAACAAGCCUUCCGUAGAGAACAUCGCAGAUUGGUUGGUACUAAGAAAAGACUUCACAUGUUGGUGUCAAGAUUCCCAUGUGGUGUUCAGAGACCUCUAUGUUAGAUUCGGACACGCGAGUUUCUACGCCGCGUACAAUCGGGAGUUUAAGAUUUCUUACAGGGAGUGGAACGAGGUCCGCCCCUUGGCGUUUGCCGUGGCCUUGUUGGGAACAAUAGUCUUCUCGCGCGGUUCGAGUCUGAGCAUCAACACCAGAGUCAUAACGCUCGUCCAUACGUUGUUCAAAGGAUAGGAAAAUCAAGAAACAACAAAGUACUACUCCGUAGCUCCGGUCAUAUUAUCUGACAUAUAUCGAGCCUUGGGUAAGUGCGAAGAAGGACAUCGAUAUUUCUAGGGGUGUAAUCUGCUCCUCCAGUGGUGGAUUCUCAGCCACUUGGCGAAGGGUGCUGGAACUCGAGAAUCGCACACUCUCGACAACAAGAACACUCUCAAGGACCUAAAUGACUUACUAUUCUAGGCAAACAUGAACAAUCGGAGAACAAGAGGGAGAUGGGCCCAAAUUUUCUUCGAAGUAAGAGAAGAGGACAUCCAAUGGAUGCUUGACCGUUUCAUAUCCAAGGAAGUUGUCGUGGAGAGUCGUAGAUGUGUCGUGCUCCCUCUACCUGGCAUUCGGGGAAUUCUCCCUUACGCUUCAUUCCGAGUCUUGCGACAGUUUGGAAGAAAAUAGACCGUGCCCAGAGAAGCAUAUUAUGGCGCUUAUGUGUACGACAUCGGGGACGACAGAGUGGACGACGCUUCAGAAAUGCUUAGAGAAUGGAAAAAUGCCAAGCGCAUGGGUAAAGACACUAUCGCCCCUGACCGAUUCAACGCUGGAUAUGACGAAGGUUACAAAGCAUGGUUGAAGAGGGAUAUACAAAUAUCUCCUUUCAGAUUCCGCGUAGCUUUUGCAGUGUGACAGACAAACAAGCCAAAAUAGUGGCCGAAUUGCGAGAGUUAAAGGAAGAGGCCAAUGAAGUCUAUGCCAAGUUCGUAGAGAAUCAACACGCUCUUGAGAGGGAAACUCGAGAGACUGAGGCAGGGGUAUGAUGAGUUUGACAGCUGGAUCAAGCAGAAAAUCGAGAGGAUGCGAUAUGAGAGUCUGUAAGACAAAGGGCGUCUGGGUGAAGGUUUUCUACUGAUGCUGAGGUACAUGUUUCAGCAAUACAAAAUCCAGAAAGACAACGAUGGAACAGGACCAUCCGGAUAUCACCCCUGGUGGGUUUUUACUUGUAUUUACGUUACUUUAGCCCCUGCGUGGGCCUGAUUUUAUUGCACUUUCUAACGGCCCCUGCGUGGGUCUGUCUUUAUGUCUAUUUCCCUCUUUCGAACACUUUACUCAUUAUUAAAUAUUAUUUUGGGGGGAAUCAUUUAUUUGGUUUAAAUUCACAUGUACAUCAUUCGAAUGCGCUAGGCCCAUCCUUGGCACAAAAGGGUCCCCAUGCAUGAUUAGGACGCGAUAUGUAUGUAUAUUUAAAUGCUUAUGUGUUACGUUGCUUUGAAUGAGGAUAUGUAAACCCACUCCUAGGCAAAAUUCAAAAGAGUAUACAGAAGCCACUAUUACAAAUGUCCGAUCAAAAUUCCCAAGUCUCAAGUUUCUCACGCAAAAAUCCAUCUCCCAUACCACAGAUCCUGAAUACCUCUCUAUCGUCUCAGGAAAGGAGAAUCACCGCUAUGGACAAAGGCAAGAACGUCCAGACAGAGCUCACUAAGGAGGAAUUGCGAAGAAAGAUCGAGUGAGUCAUUCGAGAAAUUCAGAAGAUUAAGGAGAAAGGACUCAAAGUAGACAUGACCACGACAAUCUACAAAGCUGCGGCCGCGACUGGCGUCGCAGAUAAAAAGAAAGAAGGAGGUUGAGAUGGAAACUGAAAGCCUAAGAAAAAGGUUAAACAUUCUUCGUUCGACGAAAGGCGAGAGAAGCGAAAAUAGAUAUUGAGACUACCGUGUUGUUGGCCAGAAGUGCGUCACUCGAUGAGGAAUUGACGAUCUGUAGCAACUCAAAGGGCGAAAAAUACCCCGUCUGUGGCCAGGAAGCAGACGACAGUAAGUGUGGCAGUGGUACCGGAAUCGGCAAAACCGGACCGGUAAUUACCAGAACCGGUACGGAAUCGGUACUGCGUGUACCGGUUCAGUUUCGGAACCGGAACCUGACCGGUCCGGGAAACCGGUAAAAUAACUAUUGUUCCGUCCCGGUCCGGUAGUAAACCGGUACUAGACCGGACCGGACCGGUAUCCGGGACGAACCGAAUUUAAAAAAAAAGAAAAUUUAAUCGAAUCUAAUUUUUAUUAUAAUUUAAAUUUCAAACUUUAAAGUUAUAAAUUUAAAUUUUCAAACUUUAAAUUCAAACUAGUUUGAAAAUUUUAAAUUCAAAUUUUUAAGUUAAAUUUAAAUUUCAAACUUUAAAGUUAUAACUUUAAAGUUAUAAACUUUAAAGUUUUAAUUUAAAAUUUUCAAAAUUUUAAAGUUUCAAAUUUAAAUUUUCAAACUUUAAAUUCAAACUUUUAAAGUUUGAAAAUUUAAAAUUCAAAAUUUAAAGUUAUAAAAAUUUUAAUUUCAAACUCUUAAUUUUUGAAAUUUUUGAAUUUAAACAUGAAAGUUAUAAAAUUUAAAAUUGACUAUAUCAAAAAUUAAAUUUAAUACAACAAUAUUAAAAAAUAAACUAAGGCGAAUAGCCUAUAUUUUUAUUAAUAUAUAUUUGAUAUUACAAUUACAUUUAAAAAAAUAUUAGUUUGAAUUAAUAGUUGGUGCCACCAUAUAAAUCCCUUCGUAAAUCAUUCAACAUUUCUUUAGUAACAUGUUCGGGAAUAGGUUGAAUGGAAAGAUCUUCCAUUGCUUCAAUCCCAUCGUCACUAUAAUCCUGCAUUACUUCAUCAACGUCAUCUUGAAAUUUGGUCGGUAGUGGUUCACGACCCAAAUUUCUUCUCUCGACAUUAAUCUAAUCUCGAAAUAAUACCGAUAUGUCCAAGCUGUCGGCUGCUAGUGAAUGCCUAUGUUCUCCAAGUUGAAACCUUGUUGUACUAAAGACGCCUUCCGAAGCUACCGACGACGCUUGCAUUGCUAAUAUAUCUCGAACCAUCGGUACUAGUUUUGGAAAUCCUUUGGUGCGCUCUCUCCACCAUUUGAGAACAUCUUCAGUAUGUUCUGUCAUUUGAUUAAUAUAUGCAUCAAAAUCAUUUCUAUUAUCGUGAGAAAGUUCAAGAUAAUCCUCUAAAUAAUUAUCAAUAUUAUUUUCAUCAAAUCUAACCCUAGAGCUUUCAGGUUCAUUUUCACUUGAUAAAUUUUUAUUAGCAUUAUAUAAAUCAUAUAAUUUUCUUGCUUCAAUUUUUGUGCUAUCUUUAACUUGUUGACAGCUAGGAAUUUCUUCUAAUUCAUCAUUAAUAUCUAAGUUAAAAUAUAUUUUUUCAACCAUUCUUGAUGAACCGAAAUCUUUAUACUUAGGGUGUAACAAACACGCAGUUAAAUAAAUUUGAGGAAUAGGAAUAUAAUAUUUUUUAAAUUUUAUAAUCAUUUUUUCAACGGUUUGUUGAAAUCUUGGUUUAUUUUUAAAUUUAUAUAAUUUAGAAGAAAUCAUACAAAUAUCAGGCAAAACAGUACAAAUUGAUGGACUAUAAAGUACAGAAAUUCUUUUUGUAGUUAAGUAAAAAACUUUAAGGAAAUCUAUAAGUUUAUUUAUAUCACGCCAAUCAUUAUCAUCUAGUCUAUAUGUCAUAUCAGAAUUAUGAGCAUUCCAAACCAUUUGUAAGGGUAUUCGAUAUUCAUAAGCGACUACAAGCAUUUCAUAUAAAGUAUUCCAUCUAGUAGACACUGUUUUUGGAAUUUCUCUAGGUGGAAGAUUAUUUUCAAAACAGCGAUUUUGAAAAUCUUUACGCCGAGACUUAACUUGACAUUUAAAUAUAAAAUGACAUGCAUUUUCAACUUUCGUACAUCCGUUAUCAUACAUAUUUACACCAUCUCUAACCAUCAAAUUAUAUAUAUGUGCAGUACACCUAAUAUGAUAAUUAUCACCAUAAAAAGGACAAAGUGUAGUUUUUAAAUAUUGAACAGCAGAAUUAUUACUUGAAGCAUUAUCUAAUGUUAUACAACUUAUUUUAUCACAUAUUCCAUAAUUUUGUAAAAUAUCUAAAAUAGUUUGAGCAAUAUAACUACCGGUUUUUUGCAUUUGACAACAUUUGUAACCUAAAAUUCUUUUUUGCAUAUAAAAUUUUUCAUCAAUCCAAUGUGCAGUAACAGUCAAAUAAUCGUUACCAUUUACACUAAGACCCAUAUCAGAAGUAAUAGCUAUUUUACAAGUAUUAUAAUAAAAUAAACAAUGAAGAUAUUGAAAAUGUUGUGCAUGAUAAUCAAAUACAGCCUUUUUAUUGUAUUUCUAGCAAAACCUUUAAAAUUUGGAUUAUAUACAAUUUGAAUAUGAUGUAUAAAACCGGGAUUUUCAGCAAAACUAAAUGGCAAACCCAUAACACAUAUCAUUUUACCUAGUUCUUCAAGAUCUUUUUCUCUACUAUAUGAAGGUAGUAAACUAGAUCCAGAAACAUUAGACGGAUUUAAUUGUGUUUGUACCAUUUUAGAGCCGCCUACUCCUACAUUUUCAGGAAGGGGGGUACCGUUUUUUUUAGCUUCCGCUACCGCUUUAGCAUGCAAAAAUUCAUUUUUACAACAAGACAUUAAAUGACUACUCAAAUGUCCCGUCCCGCCAAAUUUGCCCACAGUUUUAUGAUUUAAUAUAUGUGUACAUUUAUUACAAAUAGCUUGUGUUUUAUCUUCAUUUUGUAUCAUAAAUUGCCAAACAACCGAUUUUUUAACACGUUCUACCUUAGGCCUAGGAUGUACUGGGGGAACUGGGGCAGGACAACGAAAGGGAGCGGGACUAGGAGUAGUAGCUGUAGGUGGCUGAGUUUCAUCAUCAUCAUCAUAAAAAAUAGGCGUAUCAGUAUAAUUAUCAAUAUCAUAAUCAUUAUCAUUAUCACUAGGCAAAUCCUCAUCAAAAUUACCAAAGCGACGUUGUAAAUGUUCAUGAUAAGGAUCUAAUCCUGAAUUACUAUCAAUAUUAAAUACCGUAUUAUCAACAUGUGUAUAAUCAUCCGUAUUUAUUCUUAGUAUAGUAGAUUUUUUAGUUUUUGAUUUAGAAGAACUACCGAUUUUUGCAUUAUCGGAGGAUGUAAAGUUACAAACAUUUCUUACACGCUCUAAUGCACUUUUUUUCCCCUUUCCUUUUUGAACAAUAUUUUUUCUGAAACCAUAUUAAAAAAUUAAACGUGAGAAUAAAUAUAAUAAGAAAAAUGUUAUGCAAUUAUGCAAACAAUAAAUCACAAAUAAAUAAAUAAUUAUUUAAAUAUAAAUGAAACAUAAAAUAAAAGUUAGAACGAAUGUACCGAACGUCUACUUAAAAAAAGUAGACGUUUAUGACCACCGAUAGCCGAACGUGGAAAGUUGAAAAUUGAAUUUUGAAGCUCCAAAUCUAAUUUCCAAAGAUCAAGUAAGGCAACACCGAAAUUUAAGAUAUUAUAUAUUAUAGAUUAGAGAUUAGAGAUAGAGUGUAGAGAGUUGAGACUUGAGAGAGUAGAAGAUGAAUAGAUGAUAUUGUGAAUUGUGAUUUAAAAGAAUGAAAUUUAGGGGUAUUUAUAAGUAAAAAAAUGGGUUAAAGUGUAAUUUUUAAAACUUUAGGGUAUUAAAAAAGUUAGGGGUGGGGUAAGGGCUUUAUUGGAUGUAUUUUUCUUCAACUAGCCGUUGGGGGCCCACUAGCCGUUACCCAACGGCUAGUAACGACUCUAUUUAAAAAAAAUAAAUUAAACCGGACCAGACCGGACCGAUAAUUACCGGAACUGGUAAAAACUGGAUAUUCGGUAAUUUCAUCCCGGUUCCUGUCCCGAAAUCGGAAAACCCAAACCCUAACAGGUACUAACUGGUACCGAACCGGAUCGGGAUGGACUGGACCGGGAACUGGUAGGUACCGAUUCCGCUGCCACUCUUAGACGACAGUGGCCCCAACAAUGAAGUAACUGAGGAGGACGAUGAGGAGGAAAUCGUCUACAAGCCUCCAUUUCCGACUGUCUGAAAGGAAUGACGUAGCCCCAGGACAAGAAAUGACCAAAAUGUUUUCGUCGCCUGGGAAUUUCAAUGUUGUCUUUAAUUUCCUUGUAAUCACAAUAAAAGAAUGAAUGAAAAGAUUUCGUCCUAAAACCCGAACUACGCCUGAAUUCUCCUUGUGAGAUACGUAGGCAGCCUUUCCCGGCCUGGCCCCUACCGCUGAAAAUUUUCAUUCUCCUCCGUGUUACGAAGAUAUGAAGAUAAGAUCAACGGUCAUCGAAAGGCAGCUAGCAAGAAGACCAUAACUCAACGUGAUUCAGCCUUUCCGAGAUAGCCCUAAACAAACAAAUUCCUGUUUGUUCAAAAUAUAUUUCUGUCCUCAUUCGUGGGUUAAGAUAUCCUCAAACAAAGCGACUUGUGUGUUUAUCUGUUUUCUGUGCGAUAUUAUGCAUUUUGUACUCCGAAUAUGCACUAACAAAUCUGCCUUUGAGUUGUUUCAUCACUCAGGUACCUUUGACUGGUCUGUGUCGAUAAAAGCUGACAGAUCACCCCUACUUCACCAGAUCAAAAGGUCCUGCAGAUUCCUUCCCGGACCGAACUGAGAUAGAAGAAAUACCGCCAUGGGAGACAACAAUGAUGAAGUUAGUCUCACGGAUGUUGUGGUGGCUCAGCCCACCGUGGCAGAACAGAAUGAGCUAAUUGCGCAGCUGAUACAGCAGAUAGCAGAUAUGAGGGUCGAGAUGCAACGAAGGCAGGACACGCCUCCACCCGAAUUCGACCCCAAUUUCAUCGAUGAAAGACCUCCGAUGUACUUCCCCUCAUCCAACUUGGAUCCUACUCAGAACCAUCUGUCGACACCCGUGCAUAACCCGUCCGGGAUAGAUAUGACAACCCAAAACCCCCAGUACGCUUCAGUCUCCUAUCAAACUCCCUCGCCGCUUCCAAACAACCCUCCACAAAUACCACCACAUCCCCAGAACGCUCAAACAACCCCACCACCCCAAAAUCAGAACCAAAAUCCGACCGCCUUCAACCCCCAGACACCACAACCCCACUUGACCCAAAAUACCAAUCCCCAAAAUUAUCCACAAAACUAUCAAACUGCACAGAACGUCCCGAGCCCUUCCAUAGCCCCACCCUUCCCAAAAAGAACCACAUUCCAAGUCCCCGUCCCGACCGAGCAUGAGGUGCACGGUUCCGAGUUGGACCAUUACGAGGAGCAGGAGAGAGAGUGGAGGGCGAGGGAAGAAGCGAAGAUAGACAUAAAGAAGGAGAUAAAAAGGGCAAUGAAAGAAUUGCAAUGCAUUCAAGACGUCGCCGGAUUCAGUUAUGCGGAACUGUGCAUCCACCCAGACUUGAACCUCCCUGAAGGGUUCAAAAUCCCGAAGUUUGAUACGUUUAGAGGGGUGGGCAACCCCAUGGCGCAUUUAAGAGCGUAUGCGACGAAUUCGUGGGAGUUGGCAAAGAUGAAGCUUUGUUGAUGAGGUUGUUCAGCCGGAGUCUGUGCGAUGAGGCCCUGGAAUGGUUCACGUCGAACGAAACUCGACAAUGGACCAGUUGGAGUGCACUGGCUACGGAUUUCAUUGACAAAUUCGCGUACAAUGUCGAGAUAGUCCCUGAUCGAUACUCCUUAGAGAAAAUGAAGCAGAAAUCGACAGAAAAAUAUCAGGAAUUCGCCUACAGAUGGAGGAAAGAGGCAGCGAGGGUGAGGCCUCCGAUGACAAAAAAGAAGAUUGUAGAGGUGUUCGUACGGGUGCAAGAGCCUGAAUACUAUGACAGAAUCAUCUUGUUAAUCGGUGCCAAGUUCGCCGAGAUAGUCAAAGUGGGUGAGACUAUCGAAGAUGGCCUGAAGUUGGGGAAGAUAGCCCGAGUGUCCGCGUCGCCUGGAUCUUCCGAACUUGUGAGGAAGAAGAGAGAGGAGGUUGCCUCUAUUUCAUACGGGGGAAAAAAGUUCCCAGAAACUCCUCGCGUCCUCAAGACCGCUCCAAGCCUCUACCAAAGUCUCAUAAAGCCUAUCGCCCACAAUCCAAUCAUUCUGGCAACUACCAUGCUGCCCUCGCUUAUCCAGAUGCUCAAAUUUUGUCAUAUAAAAAUCCACCCCCAAAUCCCAAAAAUUUUCCCUCCGUAUACCCAAAUUACCCCCAAUCUUAUCAAAUUCCUCCCCCUUACCAGAAUGUCGCUCCCAGCUGCGCUAAUGUACAACCAAGCUAUCGAGCACCUUCCCCCCAUAUAAAAUCCAAACUCCAGCAUAUCAAAGCCCCCUCCCAAAUUACCAAGCUCUAGUGCCAAACUACAAGACAAAUCCCUACCCUAGAACCCAAACUCCUCGCCCAAAUGCUCGCAACUAUCAACAAGUUCCUCCCCCUCAACAGAGCGGGUAUGAUCCUUCUCGUCCCAGGUUUGAGAAGAAGCCCUCCAGAAACUUUACGGCGCUGGCUGAAAGUAGAACCAAGUUGUUCGAAAGAUUAUCCGCGGCCGGAUACAUCCACCCUGUGGGGCCCAAGCCCGUGGAUGUCAACUCCAGAUUCUACAAACCGGAACAGAGAUGUGCUUAUCAUUCCAACAGCGUUGUACAUGACACUGAAGACUGUAUCAAUCUUAAGCACAAGAUCCAGAAUCUGAUUGACCAGGAAGUGGUCUCCCUUUAGCCUGCGGCGCCGAACGUCAACACGAAUCCGUUGCCGAAUCAUGGGGGUGGAAAUAUCAACAUGAUAGAAACAGACGAAGAUGAGCGUGAGACUAAGAGGAUUACUCUUGUUGAGCAGGAAGACUUGGAAAAGGCUGUCGCUUCUCUAAGCGUCAGGGAAAAAGGAGAGUUCAUUAUUCUGACACCUGCGAAGGAUGUUGCCUUGGUGCCCUUGAAGACUCCCGCCAAACCCAAGUUUGUCAUAGAAAACGUCGUGGCCCAAGGCAUGACUAGAUCUGGUAGAUGCUACACUCGUGAUGAGCUUGCUCUCGGAGGACAAAAGAAAGAUCAUACCAAGAGACCCAUAAGUGAAGCAGAAGCCGAGGAGUUCUGGAGGAGAAUGCAGCCUAAAGAUUACUCCAUUGUCAACACUUGGAGAAGACUCCAGCCCAGAUUUCUGUGUGGGCCCUACUGAUGAGCUCCUGGUCCCACAGACAGGCUUUGAUGAAAGCUCUGGAUGACACGUAUGUGCCCUCAGGUACGAGCAGCGAUAAUGUAGCUGCCAUGAUUCACCAAGUCAUUCGGGAAUACCGCAUCAGCUUCUGCGAUGAUGAAUUGCCAGCCGAAGGGAGAUCCCAUAACAAAGCUCUACACAUCACCGUGAUAUGCCGCAGAAAGGUCAUCAAUCGUGUUUUGGUAGACGUAAGUUGCCAAAGUACGAUUAACCUCUGGAUUUGAAAUCAUUGCUUAUAUACCCGGUAUUGGCCAUAAUUCACAAGAAUAUUCAGUAGUUUUAGUAAGAGGGGGAAGGGUUAAGGAUUUACCCGGUGUGAGAUAUCACAUUGUUCGAGAAACCCUAGAUGCUAUCGGAGUAAAGGAUCGUCAACAAGGGCGUUCUAGUGCGUUGUAGAUUCUUAUCCAAAUCUGAUUUGAACAUAUGCCCCUUGUCCACAUUGAAGCAGCUGAGGUUUGACCUCGGAAAGUUGGAGCAAAAUCAGGUUAACAUAAGAGCGUUUGAUGUGUGCAAAGAGACACAUCGGGGGCGGUGAAUUUGACCCUUCAAAUGGGCCCCACUAAGUUCGAGGCGAAGUUCCAAGUGUUGGAUAUCGACACCAACUAUAACCUUCUUUUGGGAAGUCCAUUCAUUCACAUGGCUGGGGCUGUCCCCUCCACUCUCCACCAAAUGAUAAAACUGGUAUGAAAAAAUGAAGAGCUAGUUAUUCACGGUUAAAGGAGCCACUCAGGCAAGCAAGUGCCAGUCUUUGACGAGACGCCGCAAGGUUCGGAUUUUUACACGGUAAAGUUGGUAAAUGCCACUGAUGAAGGCUUGGCCCCGCAGACUCCCAUGUCGGUCGUGUACUGAUUGAUCGCAACGGUAAUGCUGCAGAAUGGGUUCGAACCAGGUUUCAAAUUGGGAAGAAAUUCCCAAGGGAUUAUCGAGCCAGUUUUGGUCCUUGAUAAAGAAUCUAAAUAUGGUUUGGGGUACAUCCCCACAGAUGACGAUAUGAAGACAAAGAAGAAAAAGGAUCAAGAGUUGGCUAAAACGAUCCCGCAUCUGUAUCAAUCCUUUCCAUUCCGAGAAUAUUCUGAGCCUGAAGACAGUGGGGAAGGACUGUGUGGCCUUUUCAAGGAGAUCAAUGCUGUCAUUAAGGAGGAGGUCGAGCCAGCUGGCAUUCGUGAUGCUGAACUAGGGGAGAUGCUGCAAAAUUGGACGACCACGCCAUUCCUGAUGUCCCGAACUCUGUGGUAGAAAGGAGUUAUUUUGUGCAUACUAAAAUCGGUGGUCAUCCGAAAGAGGCCCGAGACCCACAAUUUCUGCAUUUUUCUUGAUUUUGAAUUUUGUUGUGAUGUUUAAAAAGCGACAUAGACCUUUGCCAUGACCCAAGUUUGCAUUUUGUUUGAUUUAAAUGAAAGCCUCCUUAUUUUGACUUUGUUUAUUUAAUUGCUUGUUAUAUUUUACUUUCCUAAUUUUGUCUGUUUAUGAUUUCAAUAACAUAAGUUACAAACCUGCCAAUGUCAUGUCAUGAGCAAAAUGAGCAAAAUGAGGCAAAUAACGACGAGGUUGACGACUAUGACGAAGAAAUUGGGGAACCGGAUUAUGUGGCAGAAGAAUUUCGACAGUUCGAGAAUCAACAUAAACCGAAUCUGGAGAGGUGACAGAGACAGUGAAUUUGGGAGAUUUAGAAUAUGUAAAAGAGGUUAAGAUCAGCACUCACCUGAAUGAAACUCAGAAGGAGAGCCUGAUUCAUUUGCUUGCCGAACACAGUGAUGUGUUUGUUUGGGAAGUUGGUGAUAUGCAGGGUUUGAGUACCGAUGUCAUAUCUCAUAAGCUACCUAUCAACCCAGGGUUCAAGCCGGUGAAACAAAAGACUCGGAAAUUCAAGCCUGAAUAGAGAUUGAAGAUUAAGGAGGAAAUCACCAAGCAGAUAAAGUCUCGAUUGGUAGAAGUAACGCAAUAUCCAACCUGGUUGGCCAAUGUCGUUCCGGUCGCCAAGAAAGAUGGAAAAAUCAGGAUUUUUGUUGAUUACAGAGAUCUCAACAAGGCUAGUCCAAAGGAUAAUUUUCCGUUGCCAAAUAUCCAUAUUUUGAUUGACAACUGUGCCAAACAUGAGAUGCACUCAUUUGUGGAUUGUUACGCAGGUUAUCACCAAAUUUUGGUGGAUGAAGAAGACACAGAAAAAACGGCAUUCAUUACACCUUGGGGUGUAUAUCACUACAAGGUCAUGCCGUUCGGCCUCAAGAACGCCGGUGCCACUUAUAUGAGAGCCAUGAAGACUAUUUUUCAUGACAUGAUUCAUAAAGAGAUUGAGGUGUAUGUGGACAACGUCAUAAUCAAAUCCCGUGAGAGUUCGGAUCAUUUGACAUAUCUGAGAAAAUUCUUUGAACAUUUGCGUCGGUACAACUUGAAGUUAAAUCCCGCUAAAUGCGCUUUUGGAGUCCCAGCUGGGAAGUUGUUGGGGUUUAUAGUCAGUAGAAGAGGUAUUGAGCUUGACCCCUCCAAGAUUAAAGCAAUUCAAGAGUUACCUCCGCCGAAGACGAGAAAAGAAGUGAUGAGUUUCUUGGGGAGGUUAGACUAUAUCAACCGGUUUAUAGCACAAUCAACAGUGGUAUGUGAGCCCAUUUUCAAGUUGCUGAAGAAAGACGCCCCGACUAAGUGGACUGAGGAGUGCCAGACCGCUUUCGACGCUAUCAAGAGCUAUUUGUCUAACCCACCAGUAUUGGUUCCUCCGCGAGAAGGGAGUCCUCUGUUACUGUAAUUGUCUGUUUUGGAUAGUGCCUUUGGAUGUGUACUUGGCCAACACGAUGAGACAGGAAAGAAGGAAAAGGCUAUUUACUACAUAAGCAAGAAAUUUACUCCGCACGAGUCUCGGUAUACUUUGCUGGAGAGAACGUGCUGUGCUCUGACAUGGAUCGCCCAGAAAUUCAGACACUACUUGUCUUCAUACACCACAUAUCUCAUUUCCAGAAUGGAUCCAUUGAAGUACAUUUUCCAGAAAGCGAUGCCGACUGGAAAGUUAGCUAAAUUGCAAAUGCUGUUGAGUGAGUUUGAUAUCGUGUAUGUGACUCAGAAGGCAAUAAAGGCACAAGCUUUGGCUGAUCAUCUUGCGGAAAAUCCCGUUGAUGAAGAAUAUGAACCUCUCAAGACAUAUUUUCACAAUGAAGAAGUGUCAUUUGUGGGUGAAGAUAUUUCUGAAGCGUAUCCAGGAUGGAGAUUAUUCUUUGAUGGAGCGGCGAAUCAUCAGGGUAAAGGUGUUGGAGCGGUCUUAGUAUCAAAAUCUGGUCAGCAUUAUCCUAUGGCAGCUAAAUUGCGAUUCAACUGCUCAAACAACAUGGCUGAAUACGAAGCUUGUAUUCUUUGUUUAAAAAUGGUCGUUGACAUGAAUGUUUACGAGUUAUUGGUUAUUGGAGAUUCAGACCUUCUGAUUCAUUAGGUUCAAGGUGAAUGGGCUGUGAAGAACUCGAAAAUUAUAUCGUACGUACAGUGUGUGCAAAAUCUGUGCAAAAGGUUUCGCAAGAUCGAGUUCAGACAUACUCCCAGAAUACAGAAUGAAUUAGCUGAUGCUUUUGCCACCAUCGCUUCAAUGAUCAAACAUCCGGAUACUGUUUACAUCGACCCGCUGGAUAUAGAUUUGAAGGAGCAUCCAGUCCAUUGUUCACAUGUUGAAUCAGAACCAAAUGGCUUGCCUUGGUAUUUUGACAUAAAGAGAUACUUGGAGUCUGGGACAUAUCCAGAAGAUGCUACAUCUAAUCAGAAGAAGUCGAUACGUCGUAUGACUCUCAAUUUAUUUCUGAAUGGAGAAGUCCUGUAUAGGAGGACUCCAGAUUUGGGUCUUUUAAGAUGCGUGGAUGCUGCUGAAGCUGUGAGACUUAUUGAACAGAUACAUGCUGGAGUUUGCCGCACACACAUGAACAGGCUUACCUUGGCAAAAAAGGUUCUUCGAGCCGAUUAUUUCUGGAUGACUAUGGAGAAUGAUUGUUGCAAAUUCGUGCAUAAAUGCCACAAAUGUCAAGUGAACGACGAUCUGAUACGGGUGCCACCUCACGAACUUAAUACUAUGAGUUCACCUUGGCCAUUUGUAGCUUCUGGAAUGGAUGUCAUCGGUCCUAUAGAGCCGUCCGCUUCUAAUAGACACAGGUUCAUUUUGGUUGCCAUUGAUUAUUUCACCAAGUGGGUGGAAGCAGCCUCUUACAAGUCGGUAACCAAGAAAGUGGUGGCCGAUUUUUUCCGCAACAAUCUGAUAUGCAGAUUUGGAGUUCCAGAAUCUGUCAUUACUGAUAACGGUGCAAAUCUUAACAGUCAUUUGAUGAAGGAGAUAUGUGAACAAUUUAAGAUUGUUCAUCGAAAGUCAACUGCUUAUCGCCCCCAAAUGAACGGAGCUGUAGAGGCCGCCAACAAAAAUAUCAAGAAGAUUUUGAGGAAAAUGAUUGACAAACAGCGAGGUUGGCAUGAAAUGUUGCCAUAUGCUCUGCUAGGUUAUCGAACGACGGUCAGAACAUUGACUGGGACUACUCCAUACUUGCGAGUAUAUGGAACAGAGGCAGUCGUACCUGUUGAAGUCGUGAUACCGUCGUUGAGGAUCAUCCAAGAAGUCGAAUUAAGUAACGCCGAAUGGAAUAGCAAGCGGAUUGAUCAACUAGCCUUGAUUGAUGAGAAGGGAAUGGUCACCGUUUGCCAUGGCCAGUUGUAUAGACAGAGAAUGACUCGCGCUUUUCACAAAAGAGUAAGAGCCAGAAAUUUUGAAGUUGGUUAGUUGGUUCUUAAGCGUAUUUUUCCUCAUCAAGACGAGUACAAAGGAAAGUUCGCACCAAACUGGCAAGGCCCCUACAUGGUUCGUAAAGUACUAUCUGGAAGUGCUUUGGUCCUGUCAGAGACGGAUGGCGCUGUGUGGCCCAGACCUAUCAACUCAGAUGCUGUCAAGAGAUACUAUGCGUGAAGUUUCAUUUUGCAUUUUUCUGUUAUUUACUUGUAAUCGUUCCGUUGGCUUGUAUUUGUUCAAUUUGAAUUAUUAUCCCUCUUGUAACGAACUACGUCUGACCUGAAUUCUCGAGGACGAGAUACGUAGGCGUCCUAUGUCGGUUUCGAUCACCCCAUUUACCCCCCUUUAAUUAUUUAUUUGCAUCUGAACUACGUUUGACCUGAAUUCUCAAGAAUGAGAUACGUAGGCGGCCUUUAUCGGCCUCGGUAAGUCUUCUUUGUAAAUUUUAUUCUUGUUAACCUUUAAGGGGAACUACGUUUGACCUGAUUCCUGCCUCAACGGGAUACGUAGGCGCCACACGGGCUCGGUCAUAUCUCUCGUAAGAUUUCUAUUCCCCUUUACAAUAGGACUGGGACAGAAUUUUUGAGAAGAUCUCAAAAAUUCCGCGAUCUGUGCAAUUACAAUGGAAAGAUAAGCAGGACAGUAAACUGGGACAGAAAUUUUGAGGAUAGCCUCAAAAUUCUGUUAUGCGUCUUCCCUACAAGUCCAGAAUGCCUCUGGAAACUCAUCAGAGAGUGUUAGAUUCAAAGGAGCUCGUUAGGCCUGACAUGACAUGACUUGGCAGUGACUUUUUCAAGAUACUAUUUCUUAAAAAUUCCUUGUUUCUCUUAAAAUUUCCCUUUUAUAUUUCAUUUGUUUUGGCAUAAGAUAUUUUCUUAUCUAUCAAGAGUUGAGAAAUCGGGAAAUCAAUCGGAGAUGUCAAGACAAGGAGCAAACAACCGAAGGGAUCGACACAGAUCAGUAUAUUUAAAAUUGAUAAUUUUUCUGUGGAUGCAGGUUUAUAGCUUUGCUUUGAAAUUGGCCGAAUUCUUCCGACGGAUGAACACGGAGAGCUCCCAAAGAGGAGAAAAAUAUCUCCAAAACCAGUGAUUUUACUGAAAACAGGAGACAUUUCAUAUCGUUUGUGUCGAGAUGCUUGUGAAUGUGCUUGUUUAUUUCAAGCCAUUCCCCCAACAAUAUGAAAUUUACAAAAGUGUCUGGCCAGAUUCAAAGGUGAAUCAAACAAGAAUCUCAGCAAAGAUUUCGCGAUUCCUAUAGAAGACGCCAUUUGCAUUACGUCAUCGAAACAAGAUAAUUAUUGUCGAUCAAGACGACGCAUUACCCCAGAAGAGAUAGUUAUUUUAUUAUUUACUUAUCGAUCAAGUCGAUAUAGUAUUUGGAGGUCGUCUUGCCGUUAUCAUCAACAAAGACGAUAUGAAUAUUUAUGCAUUGCGGAAAUCAUGCAUCACGAAAAUCAUGCAUUGUGGAAAAUCAUGCAUCGCAAAAGUCAUACACUGAAGAUCAUGCAUCGCGGAAAUCAUGCAUCGCGAAAAAUCAUGCAUCGCAGAAGUCAUACACUGAAGGAUCAUGCAUUGCAGAAAUCAAGCGUCGUGGAAAUCAUGCAUUGCGGAAGUCAUUGCGGAAAAUCAUGCAUCGCAGAAGUCAUACACUGAAGGAUCAUGCAUAGCGAAAAUCAUGCAUCACGGAAGAGUCAUGCAUCGCGGAAAACCAUGCAUCGCGAAAAUCAUGCAUUGCGAGUUAACAAUUAUGUGCGAUGAGAAGAUUUCAUGGCUCGUCAAAAUUUAUAAAUCGCGAGAAGAUUCCAUACCUCGCUGAAAUUAAACGUCGCGAGAAGAAUUUAUACCUCGCUGGAAUUCAUGCAUCACGAGAAGAAUCCAUGCCUUGUUGAAAAUCAUGCAUCGCGGAAAAGUCAUGCAUUGUGGAAAAUCAUGCAUUGCGAGUCAACAAUUAUGCACGACAAGAAGAUUUCAUGCCUCAUCAAAAUUUAUACAUAGCGAGAAGACUUUAUGCCUCGUUGAAAUUUAGACAUCGCAGAAAGAUUUUAUGCCUCGCUGAAAUUUGGACAUCGCGAGAAGAGUUCAUACCUCGCCGAGAUUUAUGCAUCACGAGAAGAAUCCGUGCCUCGUUGAAAUUUGAACAUUGUGAGAAGAUUUCAUGCCUUGCGAAAAUUUACGUAUCGCGGGAAGAUAUUCAUGCCCCGCAAGAGGACAUACACGGAUAAAGAAAGAGCAUCACUUAUCCACUGGCCUCGAUUACAUCCUGUUAUUUCUUAUAAAAGUAAUCAUCAAGAAGAGCAUCGAAGAUAACGACAAAAGAGACAUCAAUAUCACAUCAACAUUUAUUUAUUUAUUGCGACAUCAUGUAUAGAGUACAUUGAAGAUUAUAUUGCAAAGCACAAGGCAUAAGCUUUAUUUGCUGGACGUCAGACCGAUCGAGUCAACGUCGACUAUUGAGGAGAACAAUGAGGUGUCGACAUGGUAAAAAGACACUGUCUCCCAUCCUAAUUGCAUUUUUAAGCUGACGAGUUUUAUCUCAGUCUUUGUCGAGAGCAUCCAAAAGGAUGAAUUCUCCGAAAACCACAGGUGCGGACGACAUCACAAAGGAUGCAACACAACGUGGAACUUUUUCUUAGUAGCGAACUGGGACACAGUCCAAAGAGGAAUGUAAAACUCUUAGGACGCGAGCAGAGGAGCGACUUCCACCACAAUCGAACCACCCUCUCGAGGCAUGCAGGUCUUUCUUUAGUUCUAUCAGUUUCAGUCUCGCGUCCGGAAGUUUUGAUUUAUCGGAAGCAAGUUUCCAAUCUGAGUGACGAUGCGCCAAGAGCUUUGGAAAUCAUGUCCGUGUAAGUUCUUAAUUAUAGGUGUGAAGCGCGCCACAUUCAUGGUUAAGAGGUUACAAGCCUCCUUUUCAUACUCGUUUAAUUUGUAGCUUGUCUAAAACCGAAGGUUAUCUAGCAUAAUAGACUCCUUUUCCACCGAUCGAGUCGAACUACACACAGCCUGAUUCCUGAAGCUUUAAGGAUAUGUAGGCGGAUUCAAUGUUGAAAACUCGGCUGUAUUCCAACAUUAGCUCUCGAAUUCUAUUCUCGAGCAUUUCGAUACCUUCAUAAUUCGGUAUCGAGGUGGAUUUUGAUUCUUUCAAAAUCGUGCGGCAAAUCAAGCUUAUCGAACUACAAGUGGCCUGAAUUCUCAAAUAGCCUAAGAUAUGUAGGAAACUCAUUUCAGGGGUUCGGCCAUAACUCCUAAACCCUUUGUCGAAUCCUUCCUUUAGAGAAUGAAUGGGGUUGGUCAAAAUUAGCUUAGUCAAUUUCAUUUUCCUCGAAUUGCUUGCAUCAACCCGAGUAAAAUGAGGGACAGUUGUUGACACCCAAUUUUUGACCCGCGUCGAUAUAAAUUAAUUAUCGAGCAUCUUAAAUUUUCCUAACGAUUUAAAAUAAUUAGUUUUACAAAAUUUGCGAAAAUAAUAUAUUAAUAUAAUUGUGUGCUAUUUUUGAAUAGUUUUGUCAUUUCUUAUAACCUUUAGAUAAUAUAUAUGUUUACGUAGUUAUGUAUAUAAUUGGUAUAUUUUACGUUUAUUCGAAAUCAUCCCAAAAAUAUUUAAGUUUUGGUAAGCAUCUUAUCUUAAUUUAAAUUGUAAUUAUACUUUGAAUCACUAUUUUAUAAUUAUAUUACUAAAACAAAAAAAAAGGGAGCUCGUGAAUUAAUUAAUAUAAAUUCAUUUUUUAUUUAAAGUUUGGCCAAAUUCAUUAUAUUGGCUCGAAUUGGCCAUUUAUUAAAUAAGCCUUUUUCCCUCAAACUCUUUUGAAAGACCAAUUUGGGCCUUUUCUUCAAAAGUGAGCCCAACCCAUUUGAGUUUUACUUUUCAGACCGCCCCAUCCCCUUUCCAAUUAAUUCCCAGCCCAUAAAUUAAUCCCCAAGCCCAUUCCCCUCCGACCCAACCCAACUCCCCUUCUCUUCCUUCACCCCAGGCCCACUUCUUAUCCCCCAACCCAAUUAAUCCCUCAACCCGGCCCAAUUCUUUUUUUUAAAAAACCCGCCCAACCCUCUUUUGACCCAACCCAAAUCCCCUUUCCCCCUUCCCCCCACGCGAUAUCCCCCAACAUUUCCAGAAAAACGCCAAAAAAAAACCAGAAAAAGCAAACUCCCAAAAAACAGAAAUCCCUUCCCUUCACACGCGAUUCCUAUGCAAUUUCCCCCCACGCAACUCUUAGCAAAACAGAGCCCCCCACACAGAGUUAACUCCUUUUCGUCUCCCUCACGCGCGAUGGUUUUCGGAAAGGAUGCCCAGCCAACUCGCAGCAACGAAAACCUGCACUGCAGCUGUCGCACGACUCUGCAGUGCACAAGGCGACGCAAAAUCGUCCUUGUAGCACGAGAUCGCCCCACGUCGUCUCGCAAGGACGCACAAUUCAUCUCGACCCUUCGCUUCCCCUUUUUCGUGCAAUUCUUCAGCUUUUGGAAGAGAAUUUCGAAUUUCAAAUUCGGAUAUGGGCCGAAAAAUCAUCUUCCCGCCCUCCUCCACAGAAACCCUAGUUUUUCUUUAUAAAACCCCCUUUUUCUUCUUCAAGGAGGGGGUUAGAAUUUGUUGGGAAGAAAAUUCGGAAGGAAGUUUUUUUUUCUUUUGGCUCUAAUGUUCAUUACGGAAAACUAAUACAGCAGGUUGGAAAAAUUUUGUUGAGAGCGAAAACCCUUGGACCGUUUCUAUCUGCUUCAGAAGACGGGAAUAGAGUAUAGGUGGGAGUAUAAAGUAGACUUGCGUUUCAAUUUCGAUCGCGAUAUCGUCUUCCCGUUCCGGCGGCGCCAGUCUCU